CUCAUCAAAAAUGUUCAUCUCCUCUGCUUUCUGUGCCUCCUCUCCCCCUUCUGUUGCCUCCUCUGGAACAGAGGGGCUGUCUCCCUCCUUCUCUUCCUCACCGUCUUUCAUCUUUUUUCGAGUUAUGUGUCCGCGGAAGCU
Thalassophryne amazonica is the source of this 141-nucleotide long non-coding RNA. RefSeq lists it as uncharacterized. The record is from RefSeq and is a predicted model, not a curated record. The transcript has 3 exons. NCBI's taxonomy places the organism in Eukaryota, Metazoa, Chordata, Actinopteri, Batrachoidiformes, Batrachoididae.